RNAcentral lists this unclassified non-coding RNA (355 nucleotides) under soil metagenome. RNAcentral's name for it is "partial contains 5.8S ribosomal RNA, internal transcribed spacer 2, and large subunit ribosomal RNA". The stretch from base 1 to 120 matches the Rfam family "5.8S ribosomal RNA", at positions 35 to 154 of the family's 154-position model. The record is from RNAcentral.
GAUGAAGAACGCAGCGAAACGCGAUACGUAAUGUGAAUUGCAGAAUUCAGUGAAUCAUCGAAUCUUUGAACGCACAUUGCGCCCAUUAGUAUUCUAGUGGGCAUGCCUGUUCGAGCGUCAUUAAGUCCACUUAAGCCCUGCUUAGUGUUGGGAGACUGCUCCAGCGGUGCUACCCUGUAGCUACCCUGCAGCUCCUCAAAGACAGCGGCGGAGUUGUGGUAUCCUCUGAGCUUAGUAACUUGUUCUAGCUUUCGAGUACACCACUUCCCCUGCCGUAAAACCCUUAAUUUUUAAUGGUUGACCUCGGAUCAGGUAGGAAUACCCGCUGAACUUAAGCAUAUCAAUAAGCGGAGGA